RNAcentral lists this transfer RNA (71 nucleotides) under Marmota monax (woodchuck). It matches the Rfam family "tRNA". From Rfam's summary of the family: Transfer RNA (tRNA) molecules are approximately 80 nucleotides in length. Their secondary structure includes four short double-helical elements and three loops (D, anti-codon, and T loops). Lineage: Eukaryota; Metazoa; Chordata; Mammalia; Rodentia; Sciuridae. The record is from Rfam by way of RNAcentral.
GUGGUUGUGGCUCAGUAGUUGAGCAUUUACCUCGAAUGUGUGAGGCACUGGGUUCAAUCCUCAGCACCACA